This 464-nucleotide ribosomal RNA is filed under the name uncultured bacterium. RNAcentral describes it as "partial 16S ribosomal RNA". It matches the Rfam family "Bacterial small subunit ribosomal RNA", at positions 339 to 795 of the family's 1533-position model. The record is from RNAcentral.
CUACGGGACGCUGCAGUGGGGAAUAUUGGACAAUGGGCGAAAGCCUGAUCCAGCAAUGCCGCGUGUGUGAAGAAGGCCUGCGGGUUGUAAAGCACUUUCAAUUGGGAAGAAAAGCCUGGGGCUAAUACCCUCGGGUCUUGACGUUACCUUUAGAAGAAGCACCGGCUAACUCCGUGCCAGCAGCCGCGGUAAUACGGAGGGUGCGAGCGUUAAUCAGAAUUACUGGGCGUAAAGCGCGCGUAGGCGGCUUGUUAAGUCAGAUGUGAAAGCCCUGGGCUCAACCUGGGAACUGCAUUUGAUACUGGCAGGCUAGAGUGUGGUAGAGGGAAGUGGAAUUCCAGGUGUAGCGGUGAAAUGCGUAGAUAUCUGGAGGAACAUCAGUGGCGAAGGCGACUUCCUGGACCAACACUGACGCUGAGGUGCGAAAGCGUGGGUAGCAAACAGGAUUAGAUACCCGCGUAGUC